AACUUCUAGCAAUGUAUCACUUGGCUCUCGCAUCGAUUAAGAACGCAGCGAAAUGCGAUAAGUAAUGUGAAUUGCAGAAUUCAGUGAAUCAUCGAAUCUUUGAACGCACCUUGCGCUCCUUGGUAUUCCGAGGAGCAUGCCUGUUUGAGUGUCAUUAAUAUAUAUCAAACUUCUCUUGUUGAGUUGUUUGGAUGUGGGGGUUUGCUGGCCUCUUAAAGGGGUUCAGCUCUCCUGAAAUGCAUUAGCAGAACAACCUGUUCAUUGGUGUGAUAAACUAUCUACGCUAUUGAAUGUGAAGGGAAGUUCAGCUUUCUAACAGUCUUUGGACAAAUUCAUCAUUAAUGUGACCUCAAAUCAGGUGGGACUACCCGCUGAACUUAAGCAUAUCAAUAAGCGGAGGCU
RNAcentral lists this unclassified non-coding RNA (402 nucleotides) under uncultured Cortinarius. Its description in RNAcentral is "sequence contains ITS2". The stretch from base 1 to 154 matches the Rfam family "5.8S ribosomal RNA". Lineage: Eukaryota; Fungi; Basidiomycota; Agaricomycetes; Agaricales; Cortinariaceae. The record is from RNAcentral.